RNAcentral lists this ribosomal RNA (216 nucleotides) under uncultured bacterium. RNAcentral's name for it is "partial 16S ribosomal RNA". It matches the Rfam family "Bacterial small subunit ribosomal RNA", at positions 118 to 351 of the family's 1533-position model. The record is from RNAcentral.
UGGGAACCUUCCCAGUGGUACGGAAUAGCUCAGGGAAACUUGAGGUAAUACCGUAUACGCCCCUUGGGGGAAAGAUUUAUCGCCAUUGGAUGGGCCCGCGUAGGAUUAGCUAGUUGGUGGGGUCAUGGCUCACCAAGGCGACGACGGGUAGCUGGUCUGAGAGGACGAUCAGCCACACUGGAACUGAGAUACGGUCCAGACUCCUACGGGAGGCAG